UACGUAGGGUGCGAGCGUUAAUCGGAAUUACUGGGCGUAAAGCGUGCGCAGGCGGUUCGUUGUGUCUGAUGUGAAAUCCCCGGGCUCAACCCGGGAACUGCAUUGGAAACUGGCGGACUUGAGUGUGGCAGAGGGGGGUGGAAUUCCGCGUGUAGCAGUGAAAUGCGUAGAUAUGCGGAGGAACACCGAUGGCGAAGGCAGCCCCCUGGGCCAACACUGACGCUCAGGCACGAAAGCGUGGGGAGCAAACAGG
RNAcentral lists this ribosomal RNA (253 nucleotides) under uncultured bacterium. RNAcentral's name for it is "partial 16S ribosomal RNA". It matches the Rfam family "Bacterial small subunit ribosomal RNA", at positions 524 to 776 of the family's 1533-position model. The record is from RNAcentral.